CAAUAGCGUAUAUUAAAGUUGUUGCAGUUAAAAAGCUCGUAGUUGGAUUUCUGGUGGGAGCGAUCGGUCUGGCGCUUAGCGCGAGUACUUGCAUCGUCUCCGGCCAUCCUUGGGGAGAGUCUGUCUGGCAUUAGGUUGUCGGGCAGAGGAUCCUCAUCGUUUACUGUGAAAAAAUUAGAGUGUUCAAAGCAGGCUUAUGCCGUUGAAUAAAUUAGCAUGGAAUAAUAAGAUAGGACUUUGGUACUAUUUUGUUGGUUUGCGCACCAAAGUAAUGAUUAAUAGGGACAGUUGGGGGUAUUCGUAUUCCGUUGUCAGAGGUGAAAUUCUUGGAUUUACGGAAGACGAACUACUGCGAAAGCAUUUACCAAGGAUGUUUUCAUUAA
RNAcentral lists this ribosomal RNA (383 nucleotides) under uncultured eukaryote. RNAcentral's name for it is "partial 18S ribosomal RNA". It matches the Rfam family "Eukaryotic small subunit ribosomal RNA", at positions 592 to 976 of the family's 1831-position model. The record is from RNAcentral.